GAUGAACGCUGGCGGCGUGCCUAAUACAUGCAAGUCGAGCGAACGGACGAGAAGCUUGCUUCUCUGAUGUUAGCGGCGGACGGGUGAGUAACACGUGGAUAACCUACCUAUAAGACUGGGAUAACUUCGGGAAACCGGAGCUAAUACCGGAUGAUAUUUUGAACCGCAUGGUUCAAAAGUGAAAGACGGUCUUGCUGUCACUUAUAGAUGAAUCCGCGCUGCAUUAGCUAGUUGGUAAGGUAACGGCUUACCAAGGCAACGAUGCAUAGCCGACCUGAGAGGGUGAUCGGCCACACUGGAACUGAGACACGGUCCAGACUCCUACGGGAGGCAGCAGUAGGGAAUCUUCCGCAAUGGGCGAAAGCCUGACGGAGCAACGCCGCGUGAGUGAUGAAGGUCUUCGGAUCGUAAAACUCUGUUAUUAGGGAAGAACAUACGUGUAAGUAACUGUGCACAUCUUGACGGUACCUAAUCAGAAAGCCACGGCUAACUACGUG
Molecule: ribosomal RNA, 497 nt
Filed under: uncultured bacterium
Lineage: Bacteria
Description: partial 16S ribosomal RNA
Rfam family: Bacterial small subunit ribosomal RNA
Source: RNAcentral